UUACUGGGCGUAAAGCGCAUGCAGGCGGCCUGUUAAGUCAGAUGUGAAAGACCCGGGGCGUUAACCUCGGAAUUGCAUUUGUAAACUGGCAGGCUAGAGUCUUGUAGAGGGGGGUAGGAAUUUCUAGGUGUAGCGGUGAAAUGCGUAGAGAUCUGAAGGAAUACCAGUGGCGAAGGCGGCCCCCUCGGACAAAGACUGACGCUCAGAUGCGAAAGCGUGGGGAGCAAACAGGAUUAGAUACCCCUGGUAG
Molecule: ribosomal RNA, 250 nt
Filed under: uncultured bacterium
Lineage: Bacteria
Description: partial 16S ribosomal RNA
Rfam family: Bacterial small subunit ribosomal RNA
Source: RNAcentral